UGUAUUUAUUAGAUUAAAAACCAAUGCCCUCCGGGGCUCACUGGUGAUUCAUGAUAACUUCUCGAAUCGCAUGGCCUUGCGCCGGCGAUGGUUCAUUCAAAUUUCUUCCCUAUCAACUUUCGAUGUUUGGGUAUUGGCCAAACAUGGUUGCAACGGGUAACGGAGGGUUAGGGCUCGACCCCGGAGAAGGAGCCUGAGAAACGGCUACUACAUCCAAGGAAGGCAGCAGGCGCGCAAAUUACCCAAUCCCGACUCGGGGAGGUAGUGACAAUAAAUACUGAUACAGGGCUCUUUUGGGUCUUGUAAUUGGAAUGAGUACAAUUUAAAUCCCUUAACGAGGAACAAUUGGAGGGCAAGUCUGGUGCCAGCAGCCGCGGUAAUUCCAGCUCCAAUAGCGUAUAUUAAAGUUGUUGUGGUUAAAAAGCUCGUAGUUGAACCUUGGGCCUGGCUGGCCGGUCCGCCUCACCGCGUGUACUGGUCCGGCCGGGCCUUUCCCUCUGUGGAACCCCAUGCCCUUCACUGGGUGUGGCGGGGAA
Molecule: ribosomal RNA, 536 nt
Filed under: Fusarium sp. AMS11
Lineage: Eukaryota; Fungi; Ascomycota; Sordariomycetes; Hypocreales; Nectriaceae
Description: SSU rRNA
Rfam family: Eukaryotic small subunit ribosomal RNA
Source: RNAcentral